This is a long non-coding RNA of Mobula hypostoma (lesser devil ray), 722 nucleotides long. RefSeq lists it as uncharacterized. NCBI's taxonomy places the organism in Eukaryota, Metazoa, Chordata, Chondrichthyes, Myliobatiformes, Myliobatidae. The transcript has 3 exons. The record is from RefSeq and is a predicted model, not a curated record.
UCCCAUACAACUACACUGGUUGAAAUGUUUUACACUCCAAACCAGUCUCAAGGCCUCUCUGUUAAUAUAUGUGUAAUUUUUCUCUGCAGAGGUAACGGAACGUGAUGCAAAGGCUCAGAUGUGUUCACUACCAUCACUCAUAAUAUGUGACAUGACUGCAUCUAUACCAUAAGGCGAGGCAUCACAGACAAGAUUCUCUGGUGAUGUAGAUCAUGAUGUAGGAAUGGCAUUCUGCUAGCAACACCUCGAUGAAGAUCACUUCUGACAAGACUUCUCCAGACUGCAGAGGGAUGCACUUGGAUUCCAGUGAUUUCUAUUCUGCUCAAUUGACUGAGUUCCUCCAGCAGACUGAUCAUUGCAUUGACAACUAUGUUGUCCAGUUGGAUUGAAUCUUCAGUGUGCUUCUCACUGCGCCCAGUUUGGAUUUUGCUUAGAUACUUAGCUCCUGAUAAAGCCCUCAGUCUGGCUGUCAUCUUUUGUGCCAGUGUAGUGGCAGUGUAUGCCAUCUAUGAAUUGAGAUAACUGCCUGAAAUGUAUGGACAUAGGCUACUUGAAGAGUACUCUUCACCAAAAAGAUCGAGUGUAAUAAAGAACAACACCACUUAUAGUUUCUGUACACCAUCAAAUGUUGGUCAUUUGUCCUAGUGUCACCUUAUAUGCCUUCUGUCUGAAGAUUUGUUUCUUCAUAUUUCUGGGACUAUUGCUACAUUCAGCAAACUACA